This 512-nucleotide ribosomal RNA is filed under the name uncultured bacterium. RNAcentral's name for it is "partial 16S ribosomal RNA". It matches the Rfam family "Bacterial small subunit ribosomal RNA", at positions 28 to 523 of the family's 1533-position model. The record is from RNAcentral.
GACGAACGCUGGCGGCGUGCCUAAUACAUGCAAGUCGAGCGGAUUGAUGGGAGCUUGCUCCCUGAUAUCAGCGGCGGACGGGUGAGUAACACGUGGGCAACCUGCCUAUAAGACUGGGAUAACUUCGGGAAACCGGAGCUAAUACCGGAUAAUCCCUUUCCUCUCAUGAGGAAAGGCUGAAAGAUGGUUUACGCUAUCACUUAUAGAUGGGCCCGCGGCGCAUUAGCUAGUUGGUGAGGUAACGGCUCACCAAGGCAACGAUGCGUAGCCGACCUGAGAGGGUGAUCGGCCACACUGGGACUGAGACACGGCCCAGACUCCUAGGGGGGGCAGCAGUAGGGAAUCUUCCGCAAUGGACGAAAGUCUGACGGAGCAACGCCGCGUGAGUGAUGAAGGUUUUCGGAUCGUAAAACUCUGUUGUUAGGGAAGAACAAGUACGAGAGUAACUGCUCGUACCUUGACGGUACCUAACCAGAAAGCCACGGCUAACUACGUGCCAGCAGCCGCCGUAA